UUUUAGUAACGUAGCUAACGCGUGAAGUUGACCGCCUGGGGAGUACGGCCGCAAGGCUAAAACUCAAAGGAAUUGACGGGGACCCGCACAAGCGGUGGAUGAUGUGGAUUAAUUCGAUGCAACGCGAAAAACCUUACCUACCCUUGACAUGUCAGAGAUCCCUGAGAGAUUGGGGAGUGCCGCAAGGAAUCUGAACACAGGUGCUGCAUGGCUGUCGUCAGCUCGUGUCGUGAGAUGUUGGGUUAAGUCCCGCAACGAGCGCAACCCUUGUCGUUAAUUGCCAUCAUUUGGUUGGGCACUUUAACGAGACUGCCGGUGACAAACCGGAGGAAGGUGGGGAUGACGUCAAGUCCUCAUGGCCCUUAUGGGUAGGGCUUCACACGUCAUACAAUGGUCGGUACAGAGGGUUGCGAAGCCGCGAGGUGGAGCCAAUCCCAGAAAGCCGAUCGUAGUCCGGAUUGGAGGCUGCAACUCGCCUCCAUGAAGUCGGAAUCGCUAGUAAUCGCGGAUCAGCAUGUCGCGGUGAAUACGUUCCCGGGUCUUGUACACACCGCCCGUCACACCAUGGGAGUGGGUUCUGCCAGAAGUAGGUAGCUUAACCGCAAGGAGGGCGCUUACCACGGCAGGGUUCAUGACUGGGGUGAAGUCG
This 649-nucleotide ribosomal RNA is filed under the name uncultured beta proteobacterium. RNAcentral's name for it is "bacterial SSU rRNA". It matches the Rfam family "Bacterial small subunit ribosomal RNA", at positions 838 to 1488 of the family's 1533-position model. Lineage: Bacteria; Pseudomonadati; Pseudomonadota; Betaproteobacteria. The record is from RNAcentral.